RNAcentral lists this ribosomal RNA (495 nucleotides) under Shigella flexneri. Its description in RNAcentral is "partial 23S ribosomal RNA". It matches the Rfam family "Bacterial large subunit ribosomal RNA", at positions 459 to 955 of the family's 2925-position model. The record is from RNAcentral. Lineage: Bacteria; Pseudomonadati; Pseudomonadota; Gammaproteobacteria; Enterobacterales; Enterobacteriaceae.
UCCAAGGCUAAAUACUCCUGACUGACCGAUAGUGAACCAGUACCGUGAGGGAAAGGCGAAAAGAACCCCGGCGAGGGGAGUGAAAAAGAACCUGAAACCGUGUACGUACAAGCAGUGGGAGCACGCUUAGGCGUGUGACUGCGUACCUUUUGUAUAAUGGGUCAGCGACUUAUAUUCUGUAGCAAGGUUAACCGAAUAGGGGAGCCGAAGGGAAACCGAGUCUUAACUGGGCGUUAAGUUGCAGGGUAUAGACCCGAAACCCGGUGAUCUAGCCAUGGGCAGGUUGAAGGUUGGGUAACACUAACUGGAGGACCGAACCGACUAAUGUUGAAAAAUUAGCGGAUGACUUGUGGCUGGGGGUGAAAGGCCAAUCAAACCGGGAGAUAGCUGGUUCUCCCCGAAAGCUAUUUAGGUAGCGCCUCGUGAAUUCAUCUCCGGGGGUAGAGCACUGUUUCGGCAAGGGGGUCAUCCCGACUUACCAACCCGAUGCAAACU